CACAAACAGACACACACACACUGACAGACACAUUUACACAUUCUUGCACACACUCACAUCAUUCCCUGGGGUCCAGUGGAGAUCUUCUAUCUGGAGAUCUCCUUCCUGCUCCCUCGCGCGCAGUUUAGUGAUGCCGGGUGCCAGAAUAUGACGUCAUAUUCUGGCACCUGGCCUCACUACAGACAGAGCGCGCAAGCGUCCUGCUUCCUCUCCGG
This is a non-coding RNA of Pelobates cultripes (western spadefoot toad), 215 nucleotides long. Lineage: Eukaryota; Metazoa; Chordata; Amphibia; Anura; Pelobatidae. The record is from the annotation of a GenBank genome assembly.